RNAcentral lists this ribosomal RNA (468 nucleotides) under uncultured bacterium. RNAcentral describes it as "partial 16S ribosomal RNA". It matches the Rfam family "Bacterial small subunit ribosomal RNA", at positions 28 to 507 of the family's 1533-position model. The record is from RNAcentral.
GAUGAACGCUGGCGGCGUGCUUAACACAUGCAAGUCGAACGGUGAACACGGAGCUUGCUCUGUGGGAUCAGUGGCGAACGGGUGAGUAACACGUGAGCAACCUGCCCCUGACUCUGGGAUAAGCGCUGGAAACGGCGUCUAAUACUGGAUAUGUGACGUGAUCGCAUGGUCUGCGUCUGGAAAGAAUUUCGGUUGGGGAUGGGCUCGCGGCCUAUCAGCUUGUUGGUGAGGUAAUGGCUCACCAAGGCGUCGACGGGUAGCCGGCCUGAGCGGGUGACCGGCCACACUGGGACUGAGACACGGCCCAGACUCCUACGGGAGGCAGCAGUGGGGAAUAUUGCACAAUGGGCGCAAGCCUGAUGCAGCAACGCCGCGUGAGGGAUGACGGCCUUCGGGUUGUAAACCUCUUUUAGCAGGGAAGAAGCGAAAGUGACGGUACCUGCAGAAAAAGCGCCGGCUAACUACGUG